This 254-nucleotide ribosomal RNA is filed under the name uncultured bacterium. Its description in RNAcentral is "partial 16S ribosomal RNA". It matches the Rfam family "Bacterial small subunit ribosomal RNA", at positions 524 to 777 of the family's 1533-position model. The record is from RNAcentral.
UACGUAGGGGGCAAGCGUUGUCCGGAUUUAUUGGGCGUAAAGAGCGUGUAGGCGCCAAGCAGGUCAGCUGUGAAAACUCGAGGCUCAACCUCCGAGACGUCGGUUGAAACCGCUUGGCUAGAGUCCGGAAGAGGAGAGUGGAAUUCCCGGUGUAGCGGUGAAAUGCGCAGAUAUCGGGAAGAACACCCGUGGCGAAGGCGGCUCUCUGGGACGGUACUGACGCUGAGACGCGAAAGCGUGGGGAGCGAACCAGG